RNAcentral lists this ribosomal RNA (2901 nucleotides) under Klebsiella pneumoniae. Its description in RNAcentral is "23S ribosomal RNA". It matches the Rfam family "Bacterial large subunit ribosomal RNA". The record is from RNAcentral. Lineage: Bacteria; Pseudomonadati; Pseudomonadota; Gammaproteobacteria; Enterobacterales; Enterobacteriaceae.
GGUUAAGCGACUAAGCGUACACGGUGGAUGCCCUGGCAGUCAGAGGCGAUGAAGGACGUGCUAAUCUGCGAAAAGCGUCGGUAAGGUGAUAUGAACCGUUACAGCCGGCGAUGUCCGAAUGGGGAAACCCAGUGCAAUUCGUUGCACUAUCGUUAACUGAAUACAUAGGUUAACGAGGCGAACCGGGGGAACUGAAACAUCUAAGUACCCCGAGGAAAAGAAAUCAACCGAGAUUCCCCCAGUAGCGGCGAGCGAACGGGGAGCAGCCCAGAGUCUGAAUCAGCUUGUGUGUUAGUGGAACGGUCUGGAAAGUCCGACGGUACAGGGUGAUAGUCCCGUACACCAAAAUGCACAGGCUGUGAACUCGAAGAGUAGGGCGGGACACGUGGUAUCCUGUCUGAAUAUGGGGGGACCAUCCUCCAAGGCUAAAUACUCCUGACUGACCGAUAGUGAACCAGUACCGUGAGGGAAAGGCGAAAAGAACCCCGGCGAGGGGAGUGAAAAAGAACCUGAAACCGUGUACGUACAAGCAGUGGGAGCACCUUCGGGUGUGACUGCGUACCUUUUGUAUAAUGGGUCAGCGACUUAUAUUCUGUAGCAAGGUUAACCGUAUAGGGGAGCCGCAGGGAAACCGAGUCUUAACUGGGCGUUAAGUUGCAGGGUAUAGACCCGAAACCCGGUGAUCUAGCCAUGGGCAGGUUGAAGGUUGGGUAACACUAACUGGAGGACCGAACCGACUAAUGUUGAAAAAUUAGCGGAUGACUUGUGGCUGGGGGUGAAAGGCCAAUCAAACCGGGAGAUAGCUGGUUCUCCCCGAAAGCUAUUUAGGUAGCGCCUCGUGAAUUCAUCUUCGGGGGUAGAGCACUGUUUCGGCUAGGGGGUCAUCCCGACUUACCAACCCGAUGCAAACUACGAAUACCGAAGAAUGUUAUCACGGGAGACACACGGCGGGUGCUAACGUCCGUCGUGAAGAGGGAAACAACCCAGACCGCCAGCUAAGGUCCCAAAGUCAUGGUUAAGUGGGAAACGAUGUGGGAAGGCACAGACAGCCAGGAUGUUGGCUUAGAAGCAGCCAUCAUUUAAAGAAAGCGUAAUAGCUCACUGGUCGAGUCGGCCUGCGCGGAAGAUGUAACGGGGCUAAACCAUGCACCGAAGCUGCGGCAGCGACACUAUGUGUUGUUGGGUAGGGGAGCGUUCUGUAAGCCUGCGAAGGUGACCUGUGAGGGUUGCUGGAGGUAUCAGAAGUGCGAAUGCUGACAUAAGUAACGAUAAAGCGGGUGAAAAGCCCGCUCGCCGGAAGACCAAGGGUUCCUGUCCAACGUUAAUCGGGGCAGGGUGAGUCGACCCCUAAGGCGAGGCCGAAAGGCGUAGUCGAUGGGAAACAGGUUAAUAUUCCUGUACUUGGUGUUACUGCGAAGGGGGACGGAGAAGGCUAUGUUAGCCGGGCGACGGUUGUCCCGGUUUAAGCAUGUAGGCUGGUUAUCCAGGCAAAUCCGGAUAAUCAAGGCUGAGGUGUGAUGACGAGGCACUACGGUGCUGAAGUAACAAAUGCCCUGCUUCCAGGAAAAGCCUCUAAGCAUCAGGUAACAUCAAAUCGUACCCCAAACCGACACAGGUGGUCAGGUAGAGAAUACCAAGGCGCUUGAGAGAACUCGGGUGAAGGAACUAGGCAAAAUGGUGCCGUAACUUCGGGAGAAGGCACGCUGGUGUGUAGGUGAAGUCCCUGCGGAUGGAGCUGAGACCAGUCGAAGAUACCAGCUGGCUGCAACUGUUUAUUAAAAACACAGCACUGUGCAAACACGAAAGUGGACGUAUACGGUGUGACGCCUGCCCGGUGCCGGAAGGUUAAUUGAUGGGGUUAUCCGUAAGGAGAAGCUCUUGAUCGAAGCCCCGGUAAACGGCGGCCGUAACUAUAACGGUCCUAAGGUAGCGAAAUUCCUUGUCGGGUAAGUUCCGACCUGCACGAAUGGCGUAAUGAUGGCCAGGCUGUCUCCACCCGAGACUCAGUGAAAUUGAACUCGCUGUGAAGAUGCAGUGUACCCGCGGCAAGACGGAAAGACCCCGUGAACCUUUACUAUAGCUUGACACUGAACAUUGAGCCUUGAUGUGUAGGAUAGGUGGGAGGCUUUGAAGCGUGGACGCCAGUCUGCGUGGAGCCAACCUUGAAAUACCACCCUUUAAUGUUUGAUGUUCUAACGUUGGCCCCUGACCGGGGUUGCGGACAGUGUCUGGUGGGUAGUUUGACUGGGGCGGUCUCCUCCCAAAGCGUAACGGAGGAGCACGAAGGUUAGCUAAUCCUGGUCGGACAUCAGGAGGUUAGUGCAAUGGCAUAAGCUAGCUUGACUGCGAGCGUGACGGCGCGAGCAGGUGCGAAAGCAGGUCAUAGUGAUCCGGUGGUUCUGAAUGGAAGGGCCAUCGCUCAACGGAUAAAAGGUACUCCGGGGAUAACAGGCUGAUACCGCCCAAGAGUUCAUAUCGACGGCGGUGUUUGGCACCUCGAUGUCGGCUCAUCACAUCCUGGGGCUGAAGUAGGUCCCAAGGGUAUGGCUGUUCGCCAUUUAAAGUGGUACGCGAGCUGGGUUUAGAACGUCGUGAGACAGUUCGGUCCCUAUCUGCCGUGGGCGCUGGAGAAUUGAGGGGGGCUGCUCCUAGUACGAGAGGACCGGAGUGGACGCAUCACUGGUGUUCGGGUUGUCAUGCCAAUGGCACUGCCCGGUAGCUAAAUGCGGAAGAGAUAAGUGCUGAAAGCAUCUAAGCACGAAACUUGCCCCGAGAUGAGUUCUCCCUGAGACUUUAAGUCUCCUGAAGGAACGUUAAAGACGAUGACGUUGAUAGGCCGGGUGUGUAAGCGCAGCGAUGCGUUGAGCUAACCGGUACUAAUGAACCGUGAGGCUUAACCUU